Molecule: ribosomal RNA, 495 nt
Filed under: uncultured bacterium
Lineage: Bacteria
Description: bacterial SSU rRNA
Rfam family: Bacterial small subunit ribosomal RNA
Source: RNAcentral
AGAGUUUGAUCAUGGCUCAGGAUGAACGCUGGCGGCGUGCCUAAUACAUGCAAGUCGAACGGUCGACUUCGGUCGAUAGUGGCGAACGGGUGAGUAACGCGUUGGUGACCUGCCCCGGAGCGUGGGAUACCAGGCCGAAAGGCUUGCUAAUACCGCAUGAUCUCGUGGAGUUCAGAAGUUCACGAGGAAACGGAGAAAUCCGGCUCUGGGCGGGGCCUGCGACCCAUCAGCUAGUUGGUAAGGUAACGGCCUACCAAGGCGAUGACGGGUAGGGGACCUGAGAGGGUGGCCCCCCACAAUGGAACUGAAACACGGUCCAUACACCUACGGGUGGCAGCAGUAGGGGAUAUUGCUUAAUGGGCGCAAGCCUGAAGCAGCAACGCCGCGUGUGCGAUGAAGGCCUUCGGGUUGUAAAGCACUUUUGAUCGGGAAGAGGAAGGACGGUACCGGUCGAAUCAGCCUCGGCUAACUACGUGCCAGCCGCCGCGGUAAUAC